UCUAGGGAAGGGCCGAGUUUCAUGCCUUGUGCGUGAGAGCGGGGGAACCACGAAUUGGGGUGAAUUGUCGACCUGCGCCAGCAGGUUGCCAUAGGCGACACUGAAGAGAUGAGCUCAGAAACGAGCACGUCCCUCAGCUGUGUCGACGAACCCGACAGCUAACCUCGUAGGCGAAUACUGGAGGAUUG
RNAcentral lists this small RNA (188 nucleotides) under Paenalicyclobacillus ferrooxydans. RNAcentral describes it as "Alicyclobacillus ferrooxydans c-di-AMP sequence". It matches the Rfam family "c-di-AMP riboswitch aptamer (ydaO/yuaA leader)". From Rfam's summary of the family: This family represents a conserved RNA structure found upstream of the ydaO and yuaA genes in Bacillus subtilis and related genes in other bacteria. The ydaO/yuaA element is thought to act as a genetic "off" switch for the ydaO and yuaA genes in its native state. The record is from Rfam by way of RNAcentral. Lineage: Bacteria; Bacillati; Bacillota; Bacilli; Caryophanales; Alicyclobacillaceae.